AUACGGAGGGUGCAAACGUUAAUCGGAAUUACUGGGCGUAAAGCGCGCGUAGGCGGCGCUGUAAGUCGGAUGUGAAAGCCCUGGGCUCAACCUGGGAAUUGCAUUCGAAACUGCAGGGCUAGAGUAUGGUAGAGGGAAGUGGAAUUCCCGGAGUAGCGGUGAAAUGCGUAGAUACCGGGAAGAACACCUGUGGCGAAGGCGGCUCUCUGGCCCAAUACUGACGCUGAGGCGCGAAAGCGUGGGGAGCAAACAGAAUUAGAAACCCCAGUAGUCC
RNAcentral lists this ribosomal RNA (274 nucleotides) under uncultured bacterium. RNAcentral describes it as "partial 16S ribosomal RNA". It matches the Rfam family "Bacterial small subunit ribosomal RNA", at positions 523 to 796 of the family's 1533-position model. The record is from RNAcentral.